RNAcentral lists this ribosomal RNA (30 nucleotides) under Chenopodium sp. CHEN 43/96. Its description in RNAcentral is "partial 26S ribosomal RNA". The record is from RNAcentral. Lineage: Eukaryota; Viridiplantae; Streptophyta; Magnoliopsida; Caryophyllales; Amaranthaceae.
GCGACCCCAGGUCAGGCGGGGCUACCCGCU